UAUAGAGUCUUCAUAUUGAGGGAAGUAUUUUUCAUUCAAUUGUUAACAUAAAUGAAAAAGCUGCUGAAAAUGACCAUUAUAUAGUUUAAUUUAAUUAUCUUGAACAAAACUUUUGGGAUUAAUUUUUUUGCCAUUUAAACUGUCAGUUAGGGUUAUCGAUCUACCUAUCUCCAACCCUUUUCUUUUGUGGAAGCACUUUGUUGAACUGAACGAAAUGUGAAGGCCAGUGAUGUGAAGGACCUGAUAGCAGAGACGCUGAGAUAUGCGCCUCACCGAGGAGGAAGGGAAUGACAGUAGGGGGCAGUUUGUGAGCUGAAGAGCCUGAUGGACGGACGGAAGGAAGAGAGCAGCAUGAGAGACAGACAUAGGGACACACACAAGCCUCAGAAACCACAAAGCAGCAAGUCCUGAAGGGAGAGAGAAGUCACCAUCUUUAGUAUAGUUGUUUUCCCCAUCACAGGUUUAUUUAAUUUAUUUUGCCUUUCUUAUUUUAUUCCUACAACCCUUGCGGGCAAGUCGGAAGAUUACGUUCUGUUUUGUUUUGUUUAUUUUUUUUUUAUUAAUCUGUUGAAACAAAGUUCUCUGGUUUUGGGUUCAUUUCUAAUAAACACGGUCAGCCGACCUAAACCCAUACCUUCCUGCAUCUGUAUGUUGGAUAUAUCGAUAGAAUA
Polyodon spathula (Mississippi paddlefish) is the source of this 671-nucleotide long non-coding RNA. RefSeq lists it as uncharacterized. The transcript is spliced from 2 exons. The record is from RefSeq and is a predicted model, not a curated record. NCBI's taxonomy places the organism in Eukaryota, Metazoa, Chordata, Actinopteri, Acipenseriformes, Polyodontidae.